RNAcentral lists this ribosomal RNA (253 nucleotides) under uncultured bacterium. RNAcentral's name for it is "partial 16S ribosomal RNA". It matches the Rfam family "Bacterial small subunit ribosomal RNA", at positions 524 to 776 of the family's 1533-position model. The record is from RNAcentral.
UACAGAGGGGGCAAGCGUUAUUCGGAAUUAUUGGGCGUAAAGGGCGCGUAGGCGGCGAUUCAAGUGACGGGUGAAAUCCCUCGGCUUAACCGAGGAACUGCCUGUCAGACUGGAUUGCUUGAGUCUGGGAGAGGCGAGUGGAAUUCCCAGUGUAGCGGUGAAAUGCUUAGAGAUUACAUGGAAUACCAAUUGCGAAGGCAGGUUACUACUAAUGGAUUGACGCUGAUGGACGAAAGCGUGGGUAGCGAACAGG